AGAGUUUGAUCCUGGCUCAGGACGAACGCUGGCGGCGUGCUUAACACAUGCAAGUCGAGCGACGCACCACCUUCGGGUGGUGACGGAGCGGCGAACGGGUGAGCAACACGUGGGCAACCUGCCCCUAGCUCUGGGACAACUCCGGGAAACCGGGGCUAAUACCGGAUACGAUCUUCCAUGGCAUCACGGAGGAUGGAAAGUUUUUCGGCUAGGGAUGGGCCCGCGGCCUAUCAGCUUGUUGGUGAGGUAAUGGCCCACCAAGGCGACGACGGGUAGCCGGCCUGAGAGGGCGACCGGCCACACUGGGACUGAGACACGGCCCAGACUCCUACGGGAGGCAGCAGUGGGGAAUAUUGCGCAAUGGGCGAAAGCCUGACGCAGCGACGCCGCGUGAGGGAUGAAGGCCUUCGGGUUGUAAACCUCUUUCAGCAGGGACGAAGCGAAAGUGACGGUACCUGCAGAAGAAGCACCGGCCAACUACGUGCCAGCAGCCGCGGUAAUACGUAGGGUGCAAGCGUUGUCCGGAAUUAUUGGGCGUAAAGAGCUCGUAGGCGGUCUGUCACGUCGGCUGUGAAAACUCGGGGCUCAACCCCGAGCCUGCAGUCGAUACGGGCAGACUAGAGUGCUGUAGGGGAGACUGGAAUUCCUGGUGUAGCGGUGAAAUGCGCAGAUAUCAGGAGGAACACCGGUGGCGAAGGCGGGUCUCUGGGCAGUAACUGACGCUGAGGAGCGAAAGCGUGGGGAGCAAACAGGAUUAGAUACCCUGGUAGUCCACGCCGUAAACGGUGGGUGCUAGGUGUAGGUCGUAUUCCACGCGAUCUGUGCCGCAGCUAACGCAU
This 839-nucleotide ribosomal RNA is filed under the name uncultured Actinomycetes bacterium. RNAcentral describes it as "bacterial SSU rRNA". It matches the Rfam family "Bacterial small subunit ribosomal RNA", at positions 8 to 860 of the family's 1533-position model. Lineage: Bacteria; Bacillati; Actinomycetota; Actinomycetes. The record is from RNAcentral.